CACGCAGGCGGCCAAACCAAGUCUGACGUGAAAGCUCCUGGCUUAACUGGGAGAGGUCGUUGGAAACUGAUUGGCUUGAGGCAAUGAGAGGGGUACGGAAUUCCAGGUGUAGUGGUGGAAUGCGUAGAUAUCUGGAGGAACAUCAGUGGCGAAAGCGGUACCCUGGCAUUGGCCUGACGCUCAUGUGCGGAAAGCGUGGGGAGCGAACG
RNAcentral lists this ribosomal RNA (209 nucleotides) under uncultured bacterium. Its description in RNAcentral is "partial 16S ribosomal RNA". It matches the Rfam family "Bacterial small subunit ribosomal RNA", at positions 568 to 774 of the family's 1533-position model. The record is from RNAcentral.